This 622-nucleotide ribosomal RNA is filed under the name uncultured bacterium. RNAcentral's name for it is "bacterial SSU rRNA". It matches the Rfam family "Bacterial small subunit ribosomal RNA", at positions 100 to 719 of the family's 1533-position model. The record is from RNAcentral.
GACGGGUGAGUAAUGUCUGGGGAUCUGCCUGAUGGAGGGGGAUAACUACUGGAAACGGUAGCUAAUACCGCAUAACGUCGCAAGACCAAAGUGGGGGACCUUCGGGCCUCAUGCCAUCAGAUGAACCCAGAUGGGAUUAGCUAGUAGGUGAGGUAAUGGCUCACCUAGGCGACGAUCCCUAGCUGGUCUGAGAGGAUGACCAGCCACACUGGAACUGAGACACGGUCCAGACUCCUACGGGAGGCAGCAGUGGGGAAUAUUGCACAAUGGGCGCAAGCCUGAUGCAGCCAUGCCGCGUGUAUGAAGAAGGCCUUCGGGUUGUAAAGUACUUUCAGUAGGGAGGAAGGUGUGCGUGUUAAUAGCACGUGCAAUUGACGUUACCUACAGAAGAAGCACCGGCUAACUCCGUGCCAGCAGCCGCGGUAAUACGGAGGGUGCAAGCGUUAAUCGGAAUUACUGGGCGUAAAGCGCACGCAGGCGGUUUGUUAAGUUGGAUGUGAAAUCCCCGGGCUUAACCUGGGAACUGCAUCCAAGACUGGCAAGCUAGAGUCUCGUAGAGGGAGGUAGAAUUCCAGGUGUAGCGGUGAAAUGCGUAGAGAUCUGGAGGAAUACCGGUGGCGAA